This 89-nucleotide transfer RNA is filed under the name Clostridiales bacterium. Its description in RNAcentral is "tRNA-Ser". It matches the Rfam family "tRNA". Rfam says of the family: Transfer RNA (tRNA) molecules are approximately 80 nucleotides in length. Their secondary structure includes four short double-helical elements and three loops (D, anti-codon, and T loops). The record is from RNAcentral. Lineage: Bacteria; Bacillati; Bacillota; Clostridia; Eubacteriales.
GGAGCGGUACCGAAGUGGUCAUAACGGGGCUGACUCGAAAUCAGUUCGACGGCAACGUCACGUGGGUUCGAAUCCCACCCGCUCCGCCA